GGGGAAUAUUGGACAAUGGGGGCAACCCUGAUCCAGCAAUGCCGCGUGUGUGAAGAAGGUCUUCGGAUUGUAAAGCACUUUCGACGGGGACGAUGAUGACGGUACCCGUAGAAGAAGCCCCGGCUAACUUCGUGCCAGCAGCCGCGGUAAUACGAAGGGGGCUAGCGUUGCUCGGAAUGACUGGGCGUAAAGGGCGUGUAGGCGGUUUACACAGUCAGAUGUGAAAUCCCCGGGCUUAACCUGGGAGCUGCAUUUGAUACGUGUAGACUAGAGUGUGAGAGAGGGUUGUGGAAUUCCCAGUGUAGAGGUGAAAUUCGUAGAUAUUGGGAAGAACACCGGUGGCGAAGGCGGCAACCUGGCUCAUGACUGACGCUGAGGCGCGAAAGCGUGGGGAGCAAACAGGAUUAGAUACCCUGGUAGUCCACGCUGUAAACGAUGUGUGCUAGAUGUUGGGUAACUUUGUUAUUCAGUGUCGCAGUUAACGCGUUAAGCACACCGCCUGGGGAGUA
This 509-nucleotide ribosomal RNA is filed under the name uncultured bacterium. Its description in RNAcentral is "partial 16S ribosomal RNA". It matches the Rfam family "Bacterial small subunit ribosomal RNA", at positions 356 to 882 of the family's 1533-position model. The record is from RNAcentral.